This 478-nucleotide ribosomal RNA is filed under the name Myrtapenidiella eucalypti. RNAcentral describes it as "eukaryotic LSU rRNA". The stretch from base 155 to 308 matches the Rfam family "5.8S ribosomal RNA". The record is from RNAcentral. Lineage: Eukaryota; Fungi; Ascomycota; Dothideomycetes; Mycosphaerellales; Teratosphaeriaceae.
AUCAUUACCGAGUGAGGGCCCCCGGCCCGACCUCCAACCCCAUGUUUUCCAACCUCUGUUGCCUCGGGGGCGACCCGGCCCCGGCCGGGGCCCCCCGCGGACCUCAACCAAACCCUGCAUAUCUGCGUCUGAGUCAAUUGAUAAAUUCAAUCAAAACUUUCAACAACGGAUCUCUUGGUUCUGGCAUCGAUGAAGAACGCAGCGAAAUGCGAUAAGUAAUGUGAAUUGCAGAAUUCAGUGAAUCAUCGAAUCUUUGAACGCACAUUGCGCCCGGUGGCAUUCCGCCGGGCAUGCCUGUUCGAGCGUCAUUACACCACUCCAGCCUGGCUGGGUAUUGGGCGUCGCGGGGUCCCCGCGCGCCUCGAAGUCUCCGGCCGAGCCGUCCGUCUCAUAAGCGUUGUGAUCUAUCAAGCCGCUUGCGAGCUCGGGGGGCCGUCGCGCCGUUAAACGACCAUCUCAAGGUUGACCUCGGAUCAGG